CUGUUUAUUCUCUUUGCUAUAGCCUUCUGAAAGCAAGCUCCUUUAAAAUAUUUAUGAUUCUUCCUUUUUCUGAUGCUCCUUCUGUUUAUUCUCUUUGCUACAACAUUUGGGUUAUUUGCUCUUCUGUUAAUAGCUCAUUGAAAGAGAGACUCAGAUGUUUAAACAAUAUUUUAUCUUUGCAGUAAAUUGUGAAUCUGAGGAUCAUGGUUUGGACUUUGAAGAAACUGUAGCCACUAUUUUGCUCAAAUGGAAGAGGUUUUGAUGUAGGGGAUAUAAAGACUUAAAUAGGAGAAUGCGGUUAAGAUGGCUUUGAUAUAUGAAUCUUUUGGAACAGACUUGUACUUUUGAAUUGAUCAUAUUUUGAUGGUUGUGAAUUGAUCAUAUUUUGAUGGGUUGAAGUUA
Asparagus officinalis (garden asparagus) is the source of this 402-nucleotide long non-coding RNA. RefSeq lists it as uncharacterized. The record is from RefSeq and is a predicted model, not a curated record. NCBI's taxonomy places the organism in Eukaryota, Viridiplantae, Streptophyta, Magnoliopsida, Asparagales, Asparagaceae. The transcript has 2 exons.